RNAcentral lists this ribosomal RNA (505 nucleotides) under uncultured bacterium. Its description in RNAcentral is "partial 16S ribosomal RNA". It matches the Rfam family "Bacterial small subunit ribosomal RNA", at positions 28 to 523 of the family's 1533-position model. The record is from RNAcentral.
GAUGAACGCUAGCUACAGGCUUAACACAUGCAAGUCGAGGGGUAACGAGAGGGAAGCUUGCUUUCCUUGUCGACGACCGGCGCACGGGUGAGUAACGCGUAUCCAACCUGCCCCCAACUAAGGAAUAAUCUUGCGAAAGUAAGACUAAUACCCUAUAAUUUCCUCAGAUGACAUCUGACGAGGAAUAAAGAUUUAUCGGUUGUGGAUGGGGAUGCGUCUGAUUAGCUUGUUGGCGGGGUAACGGCCCACCAAGGCAACGAUCAGUAGGGGUUCUGAGAGGAAGGUCCCCCACAUGGAACUGAGACACGGUCCAAACUCCUACGGGAGGCAGCAGUGAGGAAUAUUGGUCAAUGGGCGGAAGCCUGAACCAGCCAAGUAGCGUGCAGGAUGACGGCCCUAUGGGUUGUAAACCGCUUUUAUACAGGAAUAAAGUUAGCCACGUGUGGUUAUUUGUAGGUACUGUAUGAAUAAGGACCGGCUAAUUCCGUGCCAGCCGCCGCAGUAA